UACUCCUACGGGAGGCAGCAGGCUAGAAAUUUGGGCAAUGGGGGAAACCCUGACCCUGUGACGCCGCGUGCAGGAAGGAGCCCUUCGGGGUGUAAACUGCUGUCGUGUAGGGAGAAGGGUACUAAGGUGAACAAUCUUAGUACUUGACGGUACUACAGGAGGAAGCCCAGGCUAACCUCGUGCCAGCAGCCGCGGUAAUA
RNAcentral lists this ribosomal RNA (200 nucleotides) under uncultured bacterium. RNAcentral describes it as "partial 16S ribosomal RNA". It matches the Rfam family "Bacterial small subunit ribosomal RNA", at positions 334 to 525 of the family's 1533-position model. The record is from RNAcentral.